GUUUCAAACCUGGAAGACUCAGAUCUACAAAAGCCCCCAACUUCCCAGGUUCGAUAUCGCCGGAUACGCGACAUGCGUCACCGUCCCCUUUACUUUGAAGGCCUUAAGGUGGCUUGAUCAAGAACUUGAGAAUUAUUGCAAAAUCUGGAACUUCAUGUCUCUUUUGCUGUUAUAUUGAAGUUUACAUUUGUUAUCUAUUUCGAAUGCAGUUGUUGGAAAGUUUGCAGGGGUUGAUGUUAAACAAGGAAGGGUAUGCUUCUAUAGGAGGUGGUUCACCCUUGCGUAAGACGACAGAUGAGCAGGUGUUUCUUUGAAGACUCAAGAACUCUAUGCCCUUGUUUUUGUUACUCGCUACUUGGACAUUUUCACCGAUUUCAUAUAUUUAUAUAACACCGUCAUGAAGCUAAUAUUCUAGGGGAGUUAUUUUUCAAUUGUUUGGUACAUUAGGCAGCACAGGAUUGUUCGCAGGUCCUAUGAUAGAGACCAAGACACCUUCCGCCAUCAUUUCCUACUGGCACCAUGUCUAGUUUUGGCCCUAAUAUUCAAUGAGAAGUUCACUUUCAAGGAGGUCAUGUGGUCAUUUUCAUUAUUUUUAGAAGCUGUUGCUAUCCUUCCUCAGCUUGUGCUGUUACAGAGAACGAGAAAUAUUGACAACUUGACAGGGCAAUACGUCUUCCUCCUUGGGUAUUCCAAACACCCUGAUAUUUUCUUUACAAAUACAAUUCUAUAUCAUAUUUUUGGUUCCUUCAUUAGACCUAUAUAAAUAGCUAAUGCUGGACAAUUAAGUUUCAGUUUUAUCUCGUGUUUAUAUGUACUUAUUGCCAGCCUGCACUACUAUAUUAGAGUAUUAGCUACUUAUGUAUCCAGUUGAAUAUUAGAGUAUUAGCUACUAUUCAUUAGUUGUCGAUUGUUUGGUUUGGGGCUAGUAUAUUAUUCUCAGUAUCUUGUUUUGCUAUCAAUGUGGAGUUUUAUAAUCCUCGUGUACAAGAACUCAUUAUUUUUCUUGGACAAUUUUUG
Molecule: RNA transcript, 1017 nt
Organism: Rosa rugosa (rugosa rose)
Lineage: Eukaryota; Viridiplantae; Streptophyta; Magnoliopsida; Rosales; Rosaceae
Gene name: ER lumen protein-retaining receptor-like
Exons: 5
Source: RefSeq, a predicted model, not a curated record